Molecule: ribosomal RNA, 506 nt
Filed under: uncultured bacterium
Lineage: Bacteria
Description: partial 16S ribosomal RNA
Rfam family: Bacterial small subunit ribosomal RNA
Source: RNAcentral
AGUGAACGCUGGCGGUAGGCCUAACACAUGCAAGUCGAACGGCAGCACAGAGGAGCUUGCUCCUUGGGUGGCGAGUGGCGGACGGGUGAGGAAUACAUCGGAAUCUACUCUGUCGUGGGGGAUAACGUAGGGAAACUUACGCUAAUACCGCAUACGACCUACGGGUGAAAGCAGGGGACCUUCGGGCCUUGCGCGAUUGAAUGAGCCGAUGUCGGAUUAGCUAGUUGGCGGGGUAAAGGCCCACCAAGGCGACGAUCCGUAGCUGGUCUGAGGGGAUGAUCGUGCACACUGGAACUGAGACACGGUCCAGACGCCUACGGGAGGCAGAAGUGGGGAAUAUUGGACAAUGGGCGCCAGCCUGAUCCAGCCAUACCGCGUGGGUGAAGAAGGCCUUCGGGGUGUAAAGCCCUUUUGUUGGGAAAGAAACCCAGCUGGCUAAUAUCCGGUUGGGAUGACGGUACCCAAAGAAUAAGCACCGGCUAACUUCGUGCCAGCCGCCGCAGUAA